GGAGGUAUAUCUCAGUGACAGAGCAAGUGAUUGGCGAGCACGAGGUCCUGGGUUUAAUCCCCAGUGCCUCCG
Molecule: transfer RNA, 72 nt
Filed under: Camelus bactrianus (Bactrian camel)
Lineage: Eukaryota; Metazoa; Chordata; Mammalia; Artiodactyla; Camelidae
Also listed under: 2 other names
Rfam family: tRNA
About the family: Transfer RNA (tRNA) molecules are approximately 80 nucleotides in length.
Source: Rfam by way of RNAcentral